UACGUAGGGUGCGAGCGUUGUCCGGAAUUACUGGGCGUAAAGAGCUCGUAGGUGGUUUGUCGCGUUGGUCGUGAAAUUCCCUGGCUUAACUGGGGGAGUGCGGGCGAUACGGGCAGACUGGAGUACUGCAGGGGAGACUGGAAUUCCUGGUGUAGCGGUGGAAUGCGCAGAUAUCAGGAGGAACACCGGUGGCGAAGGCGGGUCUCUGGGCCGAUACUGACGCUGAGGAGCGAAAGCGUGGGGAGCAAACAGG
Molecule: ribosomal RNA, 253 nt
Filed under: uncultured bacterium
Lineage: Bacteria
Description: partial 16S ribosomal RNA
Rfam family: Bacterial small subunit ribosomal RNA
Source: RNAcentral